Molecule: ribosomal RNA, 501 nt
Filed under: uncultured bacterium
Lineage: Bacteria
Description: partial 16S ribosomal RNA
Rfam family: Bacterial small subunit ribosomal RNA
Source: RNAcentral
AUUGAACGCUGGCGGCAGGCUUAACACAUGCAAGUCGAGCGGGGGAAGGUAGCUUGCUACUGGACCUAGCGGCGGACGGGUGAGUAAUGCUUAGGAAUCUGCCUAUUAGUGGGGGACAACAUCUCGAAAGGGAUGCUAAUACCGCAUACGUCCUACGGGAGAAAGCAGGGGAUCUUCGGACCUUGCGCUAAUAGAUGAGCCUAAGUCGGAUUAGCGAGUUGGUGGGGUAAAGGCCUACCAAGGCGACGAUCUGUAGCGGGUCUGAGAGGAUGAUCCGCCACACUGGGACUGAGACACGGCCCAGACUCCUACGGGAGGCAGCAGUGGGGAAUAUUGGACAAUGGGGGGAACCUUGAUCCAGCCAUGCCGCGUGUGUGAAGAAGGCCUUAUGGUUGUAAAGCACUUUAAGCGAGGAGGAGGCUACUUUAGUUAAUACCUAGAGAUAGUGGACGUUACUCGCAGAAUAAGCACCGGCUAACUCUGUGCCAGCAGCCGCCGUAA